CAAGUCGAACGAGUUCUCGUUGAUGAUCGGUGCUUGCACCGAGAUUCAACAUGGAACGAGUGGCGGACGGGUGAGUAACACGUGGGUAACCUGCCCUUAAGUGGGGGAUAACAUUUGGAAACAGAUGCUAAUACCGCAUAGAUCCAAGAACCGCAUGGUUCUUGGCUGAAAGAUGGCGUAAGCUAUCGCUUUUGGAUGGACCCGCGGCGUAUUAGCUAGUUGGUGAGGUAAUGGCUCACCAAGGCGAUGAUACGUAGCCGAACUGAGAGGUUGAUCGGCCACAUUGGGACUGAGACACGGCCCAAACUCCUACGGGAGGCAGCAGUAGGGAAUCUUCCACAAUGGACGCAAGUCUGAUGGAGCAACGCCGCGUGAGUGAAGAAGGCUUUCGGGUCGUAAAACUCUGUUGUUGGAGAAGAAUGGUCGGCAGAGUAACUGUUGUCGGCGUGACGGUAUCCAACCAGAAAGCCACGGCUAACUACGUGCCAGCAGCCGCGGUAAUACGUAGGUGGCAAGCGUUAUCCGGAUUUAUUGGGCGUAAAGCGAGCGCAGGCGGUUUUUUAAGUCUGAUGUGAAAGCCCUCGGCUUAACCGAGGAAGCGCAUCGGAAACUGGGAAACUUGAGUGCAGAAGAGGACAGUGGAACUCCAUGUGUAGCGGUGAAAUGCGUAGAUAUAUGGAAGAACACCAGUGGCGAAGGCGGCUGUCUGGUCUGUAACUGACGCUGAGGCUCGAAAGCAUGGGUAGCGAACAGGAUUAGAUACCCUGGUAGUCCAUGCCGUAAACGAUGAAUGCUA
This 796-nucleotide ribosomal RNA is filed under the name uncultured bacterium. Its description in RNAcentral is "bacterial SSU rRNA". It matches the Rfam family "Bacterial small subunit ribosomal RNA", at positions 58 to 818 of the family's 1533-position model. The record is from RNAcentral.